This is a long non-coding RNA of Orbicella faveolata, 1140 nucleotides long. Lineage: Eukaryota; Metazoa; Cnidaria; Anthozoa; Scleractinia; Merulinidae. The record is from RefSeq and is a predicted model, not a curated record.
GAAGUCUCAGGCAGAGUGCUUUUGGAUUACAGCCACUCUUGCUCAUCCAGAUAUUAUAGAUGUUUUACUGUGCAUACAGUAGAUGUAAUAGUUUGUGGCUAUUUUAAAAUAGGUCAAAGUCAAAUAGAACUAGCUAAUCUGUUUUGCUUUUAAACAUUUCUGUUCUGUUAUCUUUACAUUUAGGUUGCCAUCAUGAAAUUUCUCUCAUUUGCUGUGCAUGCCAGACUGUUGCAGAAAGUCUGUUGUUGCAUGGCUUGUGGCCUGCAACACCUGUCGAGCCCACCUUGGCUUUCACUAUGGAGUUAAUGCACUGGGCACUAGCCCUGAUGAUGGAAUGCCAAGUGUCUCUGUACGACUUCUGCAGAGCACUGGAAUUUUUCAAAAACCCUCUUUUAAAGAAAAGGACAGUGUACGAGCAGUUACUUGACAGCUUUGAAGAAUUCAGGCAUGUGUAAAUCAUAUCAAUUUAUUGUUUUUCUAAAUUUUUACUUUACAAGUGAUUUACUUGUGUCGUUGUUGUUAAAAAUACUUUAUUCUUUUUCAGUUUGAUAUCCUGGCUGAGGCAUUUUGUUACUUGAGGUGGAGCAAUUUGUCCAAAGUUUAAAAAUUUAAUACUAACUGUUUAACUUUUAGGUAUUAUGUUAAAGCUGGCUCUUGGUACAAUUGGGAAGAGGAAAAUUGUACAGCUAGAGCCCCAUACUGUCCAGCUUGUCCUAAGGAAAAUGGAAAGUUGUUUGUCUCUAUUGAUGCUUGUUUUGGUCUGCCAAGAAAGAAGACAUCUGGUGCUAGCCAUUGAAGUCCUUUAAGCAGCAACAUGUUCUUUCACAACCAAGAGCAUGUUGAUAACUUUAUGGCCAGUUAUCCUUCUUCAAAGAAUGAUUCAAAGAAGGUUUAUCUUCCAAUACAUACUUACAUGUAUCAACAACUAUUAACUGUAAUUAUUUUUGUAAACCAGCAGACAAAAAAAUUCCUCUCGACCAUUGAUUUUCCUUUUCAUUAUAAUUCUAGAGGAAUAAAGUUGUCCAUGUAUAUCCUAAAGUAUACAGCCAAGAUCUUUAUCCAUAGUAAUUAAGUUACAAAUAAUAUAAUAAUAUUAUUCUUACUGUACAGUUUGUGAAUAUGUAUUUUUAUUCCAGAUGU